Molecule: transfer RNA, 71 nt
Filed under: Pseudosuberites sp. CY-2021
Lineage: Eukaryota; Metazoa; Porifera; Demospongiae; Suberitida; Suberitidae
Description: tRNA-Met
Rfam family: tRNA
About the family: Transfer RNA (tRNA) molecules are approximately 80 nucleotides in length. Their secondary structure includes four short double-helical elements and three loops (D, anti-codon, and T loops).
Source: RNAcentral
UGUAAGGUAGACUAAGGGUUAGUCACUAGACUCAUUAUCUGGGGAUGUAGGUUCGAGUCCUACCUUUACAU